AUUGAACGCUGGCGGCAGGCCUAACACAUGCAAGUCGAGCGGAUGAAGGGAGCUUGCUCCUGGAUUCAGCGGCGGACGGGUGAGUAAUGCCUAGGAAUCUGCCUGGUAGUGGGGGAUAACGUCCUGAAACGGGCGCUAAUACCGCAUACGUCCUGAGGGAGAAAGUGGGGGAUCUUCGGACCUCACGCUAUCAGAUGAGCCUAGGUCGGAUUAGCUAGUUGGUGGGGUAAAGGCCUACCAAGGCGACGAUCCGUAACUGGCCUGAGAGGAUGAUCAGUCACACUGGAACUGAGACACGGUCCAGACUACUACGGGAGGCAGCAGUGGGGAAUAUUGGACAAUGGGCGAAAGCCUGAUCCAGCCAUGCCGCGUGUGUGAAGAAGGUCUUCGGAUUGUAAAGCACUUUAAGUUGGGAGGAAGGGCAGUAAGUUAAUACCUUGCUGUUUUGACGUUACCAACAGAAUAAGCACCGGCUAACUUCGUG
Molecule: ribosomal RNA, 484 nt
Filed under: uncultured bacterium
Lineage: Bacteria
Description: partial 16S ribosomal RNA
Rfam family: Bacterial small subunit ribosomal RNA
Source: RNAcentral